UGGAUCACCUCCUAACAGGGAUACAAUACGCGAUUGUGAUGUCUGAGUAAUUUAUUCUCAGGCCAUGAUCCUGUCAUCUCUAAGGUCGAUCGGUACCUCAAUGGAGACGUUAGAGAGCAAGCGAACCGAAAGGUGAGUAAGUUUGUCUAAUCUAUCUUUUCAGUUCCUAAACUUUGUCUAGGUCACCCCAACAACGGGUAAACAAGCUCCUGGGCCAUUAGCUCAGGUGGUUAGAGCGCACCCCUGAUAAGGGUGAGGUCCCUGGUUCAAGUCCAGGAUGGCCCAUUCACCGCCUGCGCAGCAGGCAGGACUUGAUGUUGGGGGUUUAGCUCAGUUGGUAGAGCGCCUGCUUUGCAAGCAGGAUGUCAGCGGUUCGAGUCCGCUAACCUCCAUCCAACGCUGACCCUUGAUUGCGAAAGUUCCACAGGAGAACCAGUAACGGUGACUAGACGGUGCACGCUGAGCGAAACAGACUCCAGCCUCAUUGCAUACUAAUCCAUAGUCAUUGUCCAAGAAGGAUAACGAUUAAAUGGAAAGGGUUGCAGCGAUGCUGGACUCAACGCUUUCUGGAAACAGGAAGCGAUGACGUUCAAGCAAAGAACCUUGACAACUGCAUAGGUGAAGUCUGGAAAUAAAGCAUCUCAUGGAUGCUUGAUUCUAGCGUUUUAAUCUGAAAAGACUGAGAAAUCAGUAGUUUCUGUUUAAAGCAAAGGGAUCAAGAAGAUUCUUGAGUUUAGAGCCGAGAGCUUCUAGUGUUCUUAGCCACCGCCGAGGUGAGCUGAGUUUGAUCCUUGAUUCAAACCCUUACUGCCAGUGAAUGCUGAUUGUAAGAGGUGAACCAUGAGAGAAUAGGUUUCAACAACCUGAAGCAUUGGAAGACUUAAUUGGUCAAGCUACAAAGGGCUCACGGUGGAUACCUUGGCACACAGAGGCGAUGAAGG
RNAcentral lists this transfer RNA (941 nucleotides) under uncultured cyanobacterium. RNAcentral describes it as "partial contains 16S ribosomal RNA and 16S-23S ribosomal RNA intergenic spacer". The stretch from base 320 to 392 matches the Rfam family "tRNA". Lineage: Bacteria; Bacillati; Cyanobacteriota. The record is from RNAcentral.